This 648-nucleotide ribosomal RNA is filed under the name uncultured bacterium. RNAcentral describes it as "bacterial SSU rRNA". It matches the Rfam family "Bacterial small subunit ribosomal RNA", at positions 110 to 753 of the family's 1533-position model. The record is from RNAcentral.
GUAAUGCUUAGGAAUCUGCCUAUUAGUGGGGGACAACAUCUCGAAAGGGAUGCUAAUACCGCAUACGUCCUACGGGAGAAAGCAGGGGACCUUCGGGCCUUGCGCUAAUAGAUGAGCCUAAGUCGGAUUAGCUAGUUGGUGGGGUAAAGGCCUACCAAGGCGACGAUCUGUAGCGGGUCUGAGAGGAUGAUCCGCCACACUGGGACUGAGACACGGCCCAGACUCCUACGGGAGGCAGCAGUGGGGAAUAUUGGACAAUGGGGGGAACCCUGAUCCAGCCAUGCCGCGUGUGUGAAGAAGGCCUUUUGGUUGUAAAGCACUUUAAGCGAGGAGGAGGCUACCGAGAUUAAUACUCUUGGAUAGUGGACGUUACUCGCAGAAUAAGCACCGGCUAACUCUGUGCCAGCAGCCGCGGUAAUACAGAGGGUGCGAGCGUUAAUCGGAUUUACUGGGCGUAAAGCGCGCGUAGGUGGCCAAUUAAGUCAAAUGUGAAAUCCCCGAGCUUAACUUGGGAAUUGCAUUCGAUACUGGUUGGCUAGAGUAUGGGAGAGGAUGGUAGAAUUCCAGGUGUAGCGGUGAAAUGCGUAGAGAUCUGGAGGAAUACCGAUGGCGAAGGCAGCCAUCUGGCCUAAUACUGACACUGAGGUG